RNAcentral lists this ribosomal RNA (253 nucleotides) under uncultured bacterium. RNAcentral's name for it is "partial 16S ribosomal RNA". It matches the Rfam family "Bacterial small subunit ribosomal RNA", at positions 524 to 776 of the family's 1533-position model. The record is from RNAcentral.
UACGGAGGGGGCUAGCGUUGUUCGGAAUUACUGGGCGUAAAGCGCGCGUAGGCGGACCUGCAAGUCGGGGGUGAAAGCCCGAGGCUCAACCUCGGAACUGCCUUCGAUACUGCGGGUCUCGAGUCCGGGAGAGGUGAGUGGAAUUCCUAGUGUAGAGGUGAAAUGCGCAGAUAUCAGGAAGAACACCUAUGGCGAAGGCAGCACUCUGGGACGGUACUGACGCUGAGACGCGAAAGCGUGGGGAGCGAACAGG